UAGGGAAUCUUCCGCAAUGGGCGAAAGCCUGACGGAGCAACGCCGCGUGAGUGAUGAAGGUCUUCGGAUCGUAAAACUCUGUUAUUAGGGAAGAACAAAUGUGUAAGUAACUAUGCACGUCUUGACGGUACCUAAUCAGAAAGCCACGGCUAACUACGUGCCAGCAGCCGCGGUAAUACGUAGGUGGCAAGCGUUAUCCGGAAUUAUUGGGCGUAAAGGGCGCGUAGGCGGUUUUUUAAGUCUGAUGUGAAAGCCCACGGCUCAACCGUGGAGAGUCAUUGGAAACUGGAAAACUUGAGUGCAGAAGAGGAAAGUGGAAUUCCAUGUGUAGCGGUGAAAUGCGCAGAGAUAUGGAGGAAAACCAGUGGCGAAGGCGACUUUCUGGUCUGUAACUGACGCUGAUGUGCGAAAGCGUGGGGAACAAACAGG
Molecule: ribosomal RNA, 429 nt
Filed under: Actinomycetes bacterium
Lineage: Bacteria; Bacillati; Actinomycetota; Actinomycetes
Description: Actinobacteria bacterium partial 16S ribosomal RNA
Rfam family: Bacterial small subunit ribosomal RNA
Source: RNAcentral